Molecule: ribosomal RNA, 886 nt
Filed under: uncultured bacterium
Lineage: Bacteria
Description: bacterial SSU rRNA
Rfam family: Bacterial small subunit ribosomal RNA
Source: RNAcentral
AGAGUUUGAUCAUGGCUCAGGACGAACGCUGGCGGCGUGCCUAAUACAUGCAAGUCGAGCGAGCUUGCCUAGAUGAUUUUAGUGCUUGCACUAAAUGAAACUAGAUACAAGCGAGCGGCGGACGGGUGAGUAACACGUGGGUAACCUGCCCAAGAGACUGGGAUAACACCUGGAAACAGAUGCUAAUACCGGAUAACAACACUAGACGCAUGUCUAGAGUUUGAAAGAUGGUUCUGCUAUCACUCUUGGAUGGACCUGCGGUGCAUUAGCUAGUUGGUAAGGUAACGGCCUACCAAGGCAAUGAUGCAUAGCCGAGUUGAGAGACUGAUCGGCCACAUUGGGACUGAGACACGGCCCAAACUCCUACGGGAGGCAGCAGUAGGGAAUCUUCCACAAUGGACGAAAGUCUGAUGGAGCAACGCCGCGUGAGUGAAGAAGGGUUUCGGCUCGUAAAGCUCUGUUGGUAGUGAAGAAAGAUAGAGGUAGUAACUGGCCUUUAUUUGACGGUAAUUACUUAGAAAGUCACGGCUAACUACGUGCCAGCAGCCGCGGUAAUACGUAGGUGGCAAGCGUUGUCCGGAUUUAUUGGGCGUAAAGCGAGUGCAGGCGGUUCAAUAAGUCUGAUGUGAAAGCCUUCGGCUCAACCGGAGAAUUGCAUCAGAAACUGUUGAACUUGAGUGCAGAAGAGGAGAGUGGAACUCCAUGUGUAGCGGUGGAAUGCGUAGAUAUAUGGAAGAACACCAGUGGCGAAGGUGGCUCUCUGGUCUGCAACUGACGCUGAGGCUCGAAAGCAUGGGUAGCGAACAGGAUUAGAUACCCUGGUAGUCCAUGCCGUAAACGAUGAGUGCUAAGUGUUGGGAGGUUUCCGCCUCUCAGUGCUGCAGCU